Molecule: transfer RNA, 69 nt
Filed under: Ovis aries (sheep)
Lineage: Eukaryota; Metazoa; Chordata; Mammalia; Artiodactyla; Bovidae
Rfam family: tRNA
About the family: Transfer RNA (tRNA) molecules are approximately 80 nucleotides in length. Their secondary structure includes four short double-helical elements and three loops (D, anti-codon, and T loops).
Source: Rfam by way of RNAcentral
CCUGAUAGCUCAGUUGGUAAAGUAUCUGCCUGUGAUGCAGGAGACCCUGGUUCAAUUCCUGGAUCAGGA